GUGAGGAAUAUUGCGCAAUGGAGGCAACUCUGACGCAGCCAUGCCGCGUGCAGGAAGAAGGCGCUACGCGUUGUAAACUGCUUUUAACCGGGAAGAAACCCCAGGACGUGUCCUGGGUUGACGGUACCGGAGGAAUAAGCACCGGCUAACUUCGUGCCAGCAGCCGCGGUAAUACGAAGGGUGCAAGCGUUAUCCGGAUUCAUUGGGUUUAAAGGGUGCGUAGGCGGAGCGUUAAGUCAGUGGUGAAAUCCUGCAGCUUAACUGUAGACUGGCCAUUGAUACUGGCGCUCUUGAGUGCGCUUGAAGUGGGCGGAAUGUGCCGUGUAGCGGUGAAAUGCUUGGAUAUGGCACAGAACACCAAUUGCGAAGGCAGCUCACUAAGGCGAUACUGACGCUGAGGCACGAAAGCGUGGGGAUCGAACAGGAUUAGAAACCCCUGUAGUCC
This 445-nucleotide ribosomal RNA is filed under the name uncultured bacterium. RNAcentral describes it as "partial 16S ribosomal RNA". It matches the Rfam family "Bacterial small subunit ribosomal RNA", at positions 354 to 796 of the family's 1533-position model. The record is from RNAcentral.